AUGAAAAUAAAGGCUAUGAGUAUUAAAAAAAAAUAAAAAUAGGCUAGGUAUAAAUCGCUCGAUAGGCUGAAAUAAGAAAUAGAGGCUAAAAAGAUAGAAAAAUUAAAUCGUAAAUAGAUUCCAAUUCAAAUUCAAUAGAUAAUAUGGAUGGUUUUUGUCUAUAGAGCUAGUCAAAUGGGUUGCUUGAACUUGAAAAUUCACUCACUCAAAUUGAAUAAAAUUGAAUAAGUAAACUAUUGAAUUGGAGCAGUAAUACAGAGCAUGCAAGCUUUAUCUGGAAUGAUUGGGUGUAAAGCAUCUAUAGGUGGCUUUUUAAGUCUCCCAUCAAAUCCCAAGGCUCAACCCCGGACAGGUGGUGGAAACUACGAAGCUGGAGUACGGUAGGGGCAUAGGAAAUUUUCGGUGGAGCGGUGAAAUGCGUAGAGAUCAGAAAGAACACCAACGACGAAAGCACUUUGCUAGGCCGACACUAACACUAAGAGAUGAAAGCUUGGGGAGCGAAUGAGAUUAGAUACCCCAGUAGUCCUAGCCGUAAAUGAUGGAUACUAGGCACUAUGCGUAUCGACCAGUGCAAUGUUGUAGCUAACACAUUAAGUAUCUCGCGUAAGGAGUAUGUUGGCAAGAAUGAAACUCAAAGGACAUGACGGGGGCCUGAACAGGCGGUGGUGCAUGUAGUUUAAUUUGAUGCAAAGCAAAAAACCUUACCAAGGUUUGACAUACCACGAAUCCUCUUGAAAGAGAGGGUGCCUUCGGAAACGCGGACAUAGGUGGUGCAUGGCUAUCGUCAACUCAUGCCGUAAGGUGUUGGGUUAAGUCCUACAACGAGCACAACCCUCGUGUUUAGUUGCCACCGUUGAGUUUGGAACCCUGAGCAAAUUGCCAAUGAUAAGGCGGAGGAAGGUGAGGAUGAUGUCAAGUCAUCAUGCUCUUUAUUCCCUGGGUGACACACGCACUAUAAUGUUGGGACAAAGGGUCGCGAUCCUGCAAGGGUGAGCAGACCCCAAAAACUCGUCCUCAGUUUGGAUUGUAAGUUGCAACUCACCUGCAUGAAGCCGGAAUUGCUAGUAAUUAUCGUUCAACCAUACGACGGGGAAUUCGUUCCUGGGCCUUGUACACACCGCCCAUCACACCCUAGGAGUUAGACAUGCCCAAAGUCGUUACCUUAACCACAAGGAGGGGGAUGCCUAACGUAGAGCUAGUGACUGGAGUGAAGUCGUAACAAGGUAGCCGUAUUGGAAGGUGUGGCUG
Molecule: ribosomal RNA, 1248 nt
Filed under: Juglans californica
Lineage: Eukaryota; Viridiplantae; Streptophyta; Magnoliopsida; Fagales; Juglandaceae
Also listed under: 1 other name
Description: bacterial SSU rRNA
Rfam family: Bacterial small subunit ribosomal RNA (bases 137-1248)
Source: RNAcentral